CCUGACGCCUCCUGCACCUUCUGGGAGUCUCCGCCCUGAAAAGGGGAGUUGGUGGCUUGCGGCUUCUGAGAGAUCGGAAUCACUCCUGGAGGGAAAGGAAGAAGGAACCGACCAGAAAAGCAGGACCGGGACGAGUGGAGACCUUGCUGCGCUUGGAGACAGAGAGGGCUCGCUCCGCACCACUUCCUUCCCGGCACCUGAAUCUGCCCAGAGGUCCCAGCCCUCAGUCACCACGCUUUCUCGCCGGCGUUGUCCGCCUGCAGGCCCCCGUCCUGACUGGGGUGCACACCCCAUAAAGAGUAGUGUCUCUCCAGGCCCUGAGGAGACAACCUCCAACCCACAGAGGUCUGGGUUGAUAAACAGACAAAAACUGAGAUUUCUUUCUGUACAAAUGUGCAGUUGCAGACAAUCACUGCAAAUCUGCUUCCUUGAGGAGCUAACAGCCCCCUCGGAGCAAAGCUCUGGACCCCAGUUUGAGACACCGAUUUAGACCAACUCUACCUUUCGUGAGGCUCAAGGCCAGCUAAGCACUGCUGCUGAGACCCGCUCUCACGCUCCUUCAUCUCACGCAGACGAGCCCCACUGCGGCAGAGCAGGACCCCCCUCCUGGGUCCCUGCAGCUCCACAUCCCUGGGCCUCCAGGCCGCCUCCUUGCUGACUCUGUCUGUGUCCGUGUGCGCACAUCUGGGAACAUGUGCGUGUCUCUGGGCUUUGUUUUCCCAUCUGGACCUGGAGGGGAGUAGGCCGAGUGAUGGCAGCGUCUUCCCAAAUGUUGACGGGGAGGGAACUGAACAGAAAUCUUCGCACUGCCCUCCUCUGCCAGCUGCUGCUCUAAGAAUGAAGACCAAAGAAUGAAGUAGAAGGCAGGGCCGGUAUUCAGCGCCCUGCCAGGCACCCCCUUAGAGAAGGGCUCUGGCCCACGGGGCCCUUGGCUCCUCUGGUCCAAACACGGCUGGGCUUUUUCCAUUUCCGUCUGCAGUAGCACGAUCUUGCCCAUCCUCUGCCACCAUGCCCUUCACCCAUAACUGGGCACCCUGACCUGUCUUGUGUGUCCCGGUCUGGCCUCCACUCCUGUCUCUGGGAUCCCUGCAGCUGGUGCCUCUCCUGUGCCAGGUGGGCCAGGGAGCUUUCCACCUGUUGCCAGGAGGGCUGAAGGCAGCACAGAGCCCCUGCAGAGGGCCAUCCCUGUCCCCAGGCAUGGCAGUGUCUGUAGAUUUUGAUAAAGCAGGCAGACUCCACAAGGCCCACAGACUCCACCACUGUGAUAAGCCCCACCAAGGGCCCGGCUGCUAGCCCAGCACAGACCCGAGUCCUGGCUUGUACGCCUGGGACUGUGCCCCACAGCUCUGAGGGGCUGCUGUUACCACUAUAGGCUCCAGACACGUAACCCUCCACCUCCAGCUGGACCUGAGACAGCACUCCUCCACACUAGCUGCUGAUGGCUUUGGAGCUCCAGCAAAAGGAGUAGGGAUGCUAUCAUGGAAUGCUAGAGAGCUGGGAGGCAGGAGCAGACAGGUGUGAUUUCUUUCAGGAACAAAAAGACAAACCCUAAUGAAAAAAAUGAAGCUCUGAUGGUAGAAUCUGAGGCACGGACAGCUACUGAACUGCAGAUUUUGGAGUAGGGGCU
This is a long non-coding RNA of Leopardus geoffroyi (Geoffroy's cat), 1627 nucleotides long. RefSeq lists it as uncharacterized. The transcript has 4 exons. Lineage: Eukaryota; Metazoa; Chordata; Mammalia; Carnivora; Felidae. The record is from RefSeq and is a predicted model, not a curated record.